Pieris napi is the source of this 207-nucleotide long non-coding RNA. RefSeq lists it as uncharacterized. The record is from RefSeq and is a predicted model, not a curated record. The transcript has 3 exons. Lineage: Eukaryota; Metazoa; Arthropoda; Insecta; Lepidoptera; Pieridae.
CCUGAACGCGAUAGGGGGCGGUAGUGUUCGUGUCUGCUCUGAAACUUCCCGCGUGUGUUCGAAAUUUAAACUUGUGGGACUGAUAUGUGACUCUUGGAUUUUUGAGAAGUAUGGCGGGUGGAGCACUCGUUUUAUUGGCGAUAUCAAUAUUAAAUACCGAUGCACUAAGUACGGAGAAAUUCUCAAGUGGACUCCAUACGUAAGUAU